GCACAAUGAUGAUGAAUUGAUCAUUGUCCGAUUAAAUUCAUGACAGGAUAUAUAUCCUCCUACUCAUUCUGA
This is a small nucleolar RNA of Quercus robur (English oak), 72 nucleotides long. RefSeq annotates it as small nucleolar RNA Z105. NCBI's taxonomy places the organism in Eukaryota, Viridiplantae, Streptophyta, Magnoliopsida, Fagales, Fagaceae. The record is from RefSeq and is a predicted model, not a curated record. The transcript has a single exon.